UUAUUGCCGGCAGCCUGACAGGCUGGGGGGCUUUUUGGUGUUAAAUUUGCCAUUAAAGGGAGCUUGAAAAAAAAAAAAAAAAACCAAAAAAGACUUCAGCUCUAGCUGGUGGGGUUUUAUGUGUGUAUUAAACGGAGCUGUGCUUGUCUAGGAAAUGUGAGGACUAUGUCAUCGUUUCAUCUCGGAGAGAGCGCUGUAAUAUUCAUGUUACACACAGUCUGGAGUUGGUUGAACGGCAGCUGAAGCUCUCUGGAAGAAAUAAAUCCAGACAGAAUUAGCAGACCCAGAGACAAUAAAGGCAAUAAAGUGUUAUUCGAGAAGGAGCCGGGAGCUCCGGAGAGCCAAGAGUCGAUCCCAUCAAAGAGCAGAUUUAGUUUUAGGCUGUCAGAAGCAGAAGUUACUGCUGAAGCCCCCACUCAAGAGUGCGUUUUUGGGGUCUUUAUGCCUAAAUCGCGCUGGGCCGGCAGCUCCCAGGGGCCAAAGGGGAGAUUUUCUUUCCCGUUUUCCAAGAUGUGAAGGAAUCCCAUCCCUUUCCUCCGUUCUUGCUGGAGACACCGGCUCCCGGAGCCCACGAGAGGGAGCAAAUUCCUCCUCAGCCAACUCCCCGCCAGCACCAGCUCCUUUUGGGGACAACCUGCACGAGUUUCACCCCCAAGGAGGGUGGCCCUGGAGCCCUGGGGUGUCCCCUGGGACUCGCCCGAGGAGAAGGUGCAGGUCCCGGGGGGCAGCAGUGGGGUGACCCCCAAGUCCUGCCCCACCAGCGGGAAGCCCUGGCUCCAGCCAGCGCUGCUCGAGGCUGUGUCCUGGCCGCUCUUUUCUUCUGAUUACCUUCUUCUGAUUAUUCUUCUGACAGUUAUUUGCUCCCUGCAACUUUUCCUGCUUUGUGGGUAGAGCUGGAAGUCUGGGUGCCAACUCAGGAAGGCAGCUCUUGGUGACCCCGGUGGUGGAGGAAGAGGAAGGAUAAGGUUUUAGUAGGAGAUAUUUUAAAACGGGGAAGAAAGGUUGGGUGAUUUCAUGGCAGUUGUGAGCUCUGGGUGUGGGGAGGCUGCGUGGAAGUCACACAGCCAUAAAGGGGGCUCUGAGCAGCCGCUACUGUGAAUAAAAGCAAUAUUUGGAGAUGAAUCUGAAGCCGAGGCAGAAAAAAAAAGGAGAUUUCUGCUUUCUGGCCAUAUCUUGCAUCGAAACAGUGCUUGCCUAACACAAGUGGAAUACUUUAUUUUCAAGCUUUGAAUGCGGCUCCCGUGUGCUUGAUAAAAUGUAGCCAUAAAAUUGCAAAUACAAGGCAAUUUGACUACUGAUGGCUAAUGCAUCAUAACGGCUAAGGAAAUGUGGGCAUUUAAAAAUACCCCAUUUAAACGUCGGGCAUUACCUCCGUUACUUGCGCUGUAGCAGAAUAAAUAAACAAUAUGUGUGUAUUAUGUUAAUAUUGUCCAAAGCCAAAAGAAUGAGUGCACAAUGUGUUACUUGCUUUUUAUGACUGAUCCAUUAUGGCCAGAGACCGAUGUGUGAAUGAGAAAAGAGGGAAAUCGGCAGCUCUUUUCCUUGGAGAAAUGGCUCCUUUUGUUUUAUGUCUCCAGGUGAAUUAUUUUCCGUGAUUGCAUCUAGCAGCAGGAACCUCUUCCCUCCCUGAGAAUGAUACGGGUCCCAGGACUCCCAAGAGCUCGUUCCAGACCAACCAGUGCAGGUGGAGUGGGGACAUCCAGCUCAAGGAAAACCACACCAGCAAACCCCAGAAUCUCUUUCAAAUUGUCUGAGAGUGGGAGGAAUAAAAGAGAGUGAAAGUUACGUGCCCCCCCAGCCUCGCUUUUCCUGGGCAAUCUCAGAAUUUAUUGAGACAACUCCUGUGGGAUGCUCCAUCACGUCAUCCAAGACUUGUGUUAUCGACUCUCUUUUCCUGCUGCUGCUGAGUGAAGAAAUAUGAGAGCAGGAGGGAUAAUGAAGCAGACAUGUUUUCUUCAAAUCAAACCGAUUCCCUCUUAAGACGGGAUAAAAGGGUAAAGAACUUUCCCUUCGCGAUAUUUUUCUCGGUAAUGUGUUUUGACAAUUUAAUUUAGAAGUCAUAGAGUAGCGAAGACAAAGUCACCCGGUGGGUGGACAUCGGAGAGUUCAGUUGCCUUUGUGAUGAAUUGGUGAUAGUACAGAGAUGACAAAACAACACAGGGGGACAAGGAGGAGGCUGGCAGCACUGUCGGCAACACGCACAGGAUAAAUUGAACACUACACUUCAUCCAGGAUCCUCAAUAGUCCCAGGCAUCCCGAUAUAAUUUAUGAAUUGCAAUUAGCAUUUUAUUAUGGCUCGUGCUGGGGCUGCGUACCUAUCGCUGGCGUUCGGGUUUUGCUAGAGUUGCAAAGCGAAGUUUUCCUAAGUUUAAAGUAUCUAUAUGUUUAAAUUAAAGCAAUAAAUACUCUCAGGAGGUUGUUUUCCUGUUUUUAAGCUGCA
Long non-coding RNA from Calidris pugnax (ruff), 2440 nucleotides. RefSeq lists it as uncharacterized. The transcript is spliced from 2 exons. NCBI's taxonomy places the organism in Eukaryota, Metazoa, Chordata, Aves, Charadriiformes, Scolopacidae. The record is from RefSeq and is a predicted model, not a curated record.